RNAcentral lists this ribosomal RNA (377 nucleotides) under Cupriavidus sp. JdFR-90. RNAcentral's name for it is "bacterial LSU rRNA". It matches the Rfam family "Bacterial large subunit ribosomal RNA", at positions 2554 to 2925 of the family's 2925-position model. The record is from RNAcentral. Lineage: Bacteria; Pseudomonadati; Pseudomonadota; Betaproteobacteria; Burkholderiales; Burkholderiaceae.
UGUAGCCGGUCCCAAGGGUAUGGCUGUUCGCCAUUUAAAGAGGUACGUGAGCUGGGUUUAAAACGUCGUGAGACAGUUUGGUCCCUAUCUGCCGUGGGCGUUGGAAUCUUGACGGGGGCUGCUCCUAGUACGAGAGGACCGGAGUGGACGUACCGCUGGUGUACCUGUUGUCUCGCCAGAGGCAUCGCAGGGUAGCUAUGUACGGAAGAGAUAACCGCUGAAAGCAUCUAAGCGGGAAACUCGCCUGAAGAUGAGGAUUCCCUGGAGCCUUGACCUCCUUGAAGGGUCGUUCGAGACCAGGACGUUGAUAGGCUGGGUGUGGAAGCGCAGUAAUGCGUUAAGCUAACCAGUACUAAUUGCCCGUAAGGCUUGAUCCU